UAUUUUUUUUUUGUUAGGAGGAACUUAAACACACUUUUCAACUUUACGCGUUCAAUGUGUUUCCAUAAGUAUCCAUUCUUAUUCACCGUAAACUUAGAUUUUUUUUUCUUUUUCUAUCAAAAAGCAAAAAAAUUUUUUUCUCAUCGUUUAUACCAUUAGGUAACUUUACUUUAUCACGUUUUGGAUUAGAGCUAAAAAACCCAGUAAAGUAAAGCAAAUUUAAACUAAGAGGCCGUUACUUUAAGUAAAUUCCAUAAGCUUUAGGCGAGGGUAUAAACCCUUUAUCGUUACUCAUGUCAGCAUUAUCACUUGGGUAAUCUAAUCUUAAGUCUUAAAAAGAAAAAAUCUGAAAUAUGCCCAAUGUUCCGCUACCCCAUAUAUAUUCUAUGUAACUUGUACAUAUAAAUAUUUAUGGACAAGGUCUCGGUAUAUUAUUUAGAUCCGUUAAAUUUUAGGUGCAUCUAACAAUACAAUACAAAAUUGUAUAAAACCAGUGCUCUGUUACGAGGUCUUUAAAAAAUGGCCGCUCCUAAGCCCAUUUCCUGGUUGGCUUAGAUAAACACUACCUUAUUUUCACUUAACAAUAAUUUGGAACCCUGCGAAGCCA
RNAcentral lists this ribosomal RNA (607 nucleotides) under Rhizocarpon geographicum. RNAcentral describes it as "partial large subunit ribosomal RNA". The record is from RNAcentral. Lineage: Eukaryota; Fungi; Ascomycota; Lecanoromycetes; Rhizocarpales; Rhizocarpaceae.